AUUGAACGCUGGCGGCAGGCCUAACACGUGCAAGUCGAGCGGAUGAAGGGAGCUUGCUCCUGGAUUCAGCGGCGGACGGGUGAGUAAUGCCUAGGAAUCUGCCUGGUAGUGGGGGAUAACGUCCGGAAACGGGCGCUAAUACCGCAUACGUCCUGAGGGAGAAAGUGGGGGAUCUUCGGACCUCACGCUAUCAGAUGAGCCUAGGUCGGAUUAGCUAGUUGGUGGGGUAAAGGCCUACCAAGGCGACGAUCCGUAACUGGUCUGAGAGGAUGAUCAGUCAAACUGAAACUGGACAACGGUCCGGCUCCCUACGGAAGGCGGCGGGGGGGAUAUUUGACCAAUGGGCGAAAGCCCAUUCAGCCAUGCCGCGUGUGUGAAGAAGGUCUUCGGAUUGUAAAGCACUUUAAGUUGGGAGGAAGGGCAGUAAGUUAAUACCUUGCUGUUUUGACGUUACCAACAGAAUAAGCACCGGCUAACUUCGUG
This 483-nucleotide ribosomal RNA is filed under the name uncultured bacterium. RNAcentral describes it as "partial 16S ribosomal RNA". It matches the Rfam family "Bacterial small subunit ribosomal RNA", at positions 30 to 507 of the family's 1533-position model. The record is from RNAcentral.